RNAcentral lists this ribosomal RNA (396 nucleotides) under Marimonadida sp. RNAcentral describes it as "partial small subunit ribosomal RNA". It matches the Rfam family "Eukaryotic small subunit ribosomal RNA", at positions 582 to 975 of the family's 1831-position model. The record is from RNAcentral. Lineage: Eukaryota; Cercozoa; Imbricatea; Marimonadida.
AUUCCAGCUCCAGUAGCGUAUAUUAAAGUUGUUGCAGUUAAAAAGCUCGUAGUUGGAUUUCUGGCCUGACGAAACUGACCCGCCGCGGUUACGUGUGUGAGUGUCGGGCUUCGUCUGCCAUCCUUCCAGAAAACGUUUCUACCCUUCACUGGGUUGGAUUCGCGAUCUGGAACUUUUACUUUGAAGAAAUUAGAGUGUUCAAAGCAGGCUUGCGCUGUGAAUACAUUAGCAUGGAAUAAUAAUUUAGGACUCAGGUCUUAUUUUGUUGGUUCUUAAGAUCUAAGUAAUGAUUGAUAGGGAUAGUUGGGGUGCUAGUAUUCAGCGGCCAGAGGUGAAAUUCUUGGAUUCGCUGAAGACUAACUUAUGCGAAAGCAUUCACCAAGGAUGUCUUCAUUA